This 79-nucleotide small RNA is filed under the name Flavobacterium granuli. RNAcentral's name for it is "Flavo-1 RNA". It matches the Rfam family "Flavo-1 RNA". The record is from RNAcentral. Lineage: Bacteria; Pseudomonadati; Bacteroidota; Flavobacteriia; Flavobacteriales; Flavobacteriaceae.
ACCUAGCCCCGAUAGCAGUGAAAAUCCUUUCUAUUUUUAAAGAAAAAUAGAAAGAUUGCAAUGGAUAGCGGGAAAUUGC